AACGAACGCUGGCGGCGUGGAUAAGACAUGCAAGUCGAACGGGGAACUAUAUGAAGCUUGCUUUACGUAGUUCCUAGUGGCGAACGGGUGAGUAUCACGUGAGCAACCUGCCCAGAAGCGGGGCAUAGCCUGGGGAAACUCGGAUUAAUACCGCAUGUGAUCCCUCCUGGCAUUAGGAGUGGAUUAAAGGUGGGGACCCUUCGGGGCCUACCGCUUCUGGAUGGGCUCGCGGCCUAUCAGCUUGUUGGUGAGGUAACGGCCCACCAAGGCGACGACGGGUAGCUGGUCUGAGAGGAUGGUCAGCCACACUGGAACUGAGACACGGUCCAGACACCUACGGGUGGCAGCAGUCGAGAAUCAUUCGCAAUGGGCGAAAGCCUGACGGUGCGACGCCGCGUGGAGGAUGAAGGUCUUCGGAUUGUAAACUCCUGUCAUCAGGGAGUAAGUCAGUGGUCACGAAUAGCGACCACUGUUGCUAGUACCUGAAGAGGAAGAGACGGCUAACUCUGUGCCAGCAGCCGCGGUAAUACAGAGGUCUCAAGCGUUGUUCGGAUUUACUGGGCGUAAAGCGUGCGUAGGCGGCGAGGUAAGUCAGAUGUGAAAGCUCGGGGCUCAACCCCGAAAAUGCAUCCGAUACUGCC
RNAcentral lists this ribosomal RNA (641 nucleotides) under uncultured bacterium. RNAcentral's name for it is "bacterial SSU rRNA". It matches the Rfam family "Bacterial small subunit ribosomal RNA", at positions 28 to 637 of the family's 1533-position model. The record is from RNAcentral.